UACGGAGGGUGCAAGCGUUAUCCGGAUUCACUGGGUUUAAAGGGUGCGUAGGCGGGAUGGCAAGUCGGUCGUGAAAUCUCCGGGCUUAACUCGGAACGGUCAACUGAUACUGUGCGGCUAGAGUGCGGAAGGGGCAACUGGAAUUCUUGGUGUAGCGGUGAAAUGCGUAGAUAUCAAGAGGAACACCUGCGGCGAAGGCGGGUUGCUGGGCCGACACUGACGCUGAGGCGCGAAAGCCAGGGGAGCGAACGGGG
This 254-nucleotide ribosomal RNA is filed under the name uncultured bacterium. Its description in RNAcentral is "partial 16S ribosomal RNA". It matches the Rfam family "Bacterial small subunit ribosomal RNA", at positions 524 to 777 of the family's 1533-position model. The record is from RNAcentral.